Molecule: long non-coding RNA, 373 nt
Organism: Cervus elaphus (red deer)
Lineage: Eukaryota; Metazoa; Chordata; Mammalia; Artiodactyla; Cervidae
Exons: 3
Source: RefSeq, a predicted model, not a curated record
GAGUUAGAAUGAGCCAAGCAAUAGGGACAGGGAGCAUUUCAGGCAGAGGAAACAGCAUGAGCAGAGAUCUGAGGAUCACAUUCCCCCGAGCAUUGGAUGAAAACCUGCUGUUUGAGCUAAGAGAAAGAAACUGAGGUUCAAGGAGGCAAAGGAUCCAAGGUCAUGGGCUCAUUCAUUCCUUCACUGACUCAGCAACCAUUAGUCGACACGUGCUGCUGGCAGGCUGGCCCUCGGUGCUACGGAAACAGCGGUUCCUGUCCGCGUAAUGCCAGCCCAACCAGCCAACCCACCACGCUGAGAGUGUAGUCAUUAAAUCUUGCUCGGAACCUCAGAGUCAUGCUGCCCAACAGUGGAAGCUUCAUCUUCAGAGAUG